This 441-nucleotide ribosomal RNA is filed under the name Drosophila kambysellisi. RNAcentral's name for it is "partial 12S ribosomal RNA". The record is from RNAcentral. Lineage: Eukaryota; Metazoa; Arthropoda; Insecta; Diptera; Drosophilidae.
UAUUAUUUAAAAUGUAAUUAUAAAUACUUAAGUAGUAAUAGUUAUGUUCUUGAAACUUAAAAAAUUUGGCGGUAUUUUAGUCUAUCCAGAGGAACCUGUUUUGUAAUCGAUAAUCCACGAUGGACCUUACUUAAGUUUGUAAUCAGUUUAUAUACCGUCGUUAUCAGAAUAUUUUAUAAGAAUAAUAAUAUUCAAUAAUUUUUAUUAAAAUUUAUAUCAGAUCAAGGUGUAGCUUAUAUUUAAGUAAUAAUGGGUUACAAUAAAUGUAUUUAAACGGAUAAAAUUAUGAAAAAAUUUUUGAAGGUGGAUUUGGUAGUAAAAUUAUAAAGAUUAAUAAUUUGAUUUUAGCUCUAAAAUAUGUACACAUCGCCCGUCGCUCUUAUUAUUAAGGUAAGAUAAGUCGUAACAUAGUAGAUGUACUGGAAAGUGUAUCUAGAAUGA